GAGGGCAUGCCUGUUCGAGCGUCAUUUCAACCCUCAAGCAUUGCUUGGUGUUGGGGCACUGCUUCUAACGAAGCAGGCCCUGAAAUCUAGUGGCGAGCUCGCCAGGACCCCGAGCGUAGUAGUUAAACCCUCGCUCUGGAAGGCCCUGGCGGUGCCCUGCCGUUAAACCCCCAACUUUUGAAAAUUUGACCUCGGAUCAGGUAGGAAUACCCGCUGAACUUAAGCAUAUCAAUAAGCGGAGGAAAAGAAACCAACAGGGAUUGCCCUAGUAACGGCGAGUGAAGCGGCAACAGCUCAAAUUUGAAAUCUGGCCUCGGCCCGAGUUGUAAUUUGCAGAGGAUGCUUCUGGCGCGGUGCCUUCCGAGUUCCCUGGAACGGGACGCCACAGAGGGUGAGAGCCCCGUAUGGUCGGACACCAAGCCUGUGUGAAGCUCCUUCGACGAGUCGAGUAGUUUGGGAAUGCUGCUCUAAAUGGGAGGUAAAUCUCUUCUAAAGCUAAAUACCGGCCAGAGACCGAUAGCGCACAAGUAGAGUGAUCGAAAGAUGAAAAGCACCUUGAAAAGGGGGUUAAAUAGUACGUGAAAUUGUUGAAAGGGAAGCACUUGUGACCAGACUUGGGCCGGGCGGCUCAUCAGGGGUUCUCCCCUGUGCACUCCGCCCGGCACAGGCCAGCAUCGGUUCUCGUGGGGGGAUAAGACCGUCAGGAACGUAGCACCCUCCGGGGUGUGUUAUAGCCUGGCGGACGAUACCCCCCGUGGGGACCGAGGU
Molecule: ribosomal RNA, 768 nt
Filed under: fungal endophyte
Lineage: Eukaryota; Fungi
Description: eukaryotic LSU rRNA
Rfam family: Eukaryotic large subunit ribosomal RNA (bases 187-768)
Source: RNAcentral